UACAGAGGGGGCAAGCGUUAUUCGGAAUUAUUGGGCGUAAAGGGCGCGUAGGCGGCGCAACAAGUCACUUGUGAAAUCUCUGAGCUUAACUCAGAACGGCCAAGUGAUACUGCAGUGCUAGAGUGUGGAAGGGGCAAUCGGAAUUCUUGGUGUAGCGGUGAAAUGCGCAGAUAUCAGGAGGAACACCGGUGGCGAAGGCGCCACUCUGGGCCGAAACUGACGCUGAGGAGCGAAAGCGUGGGUAGCAAACAGG
RNAcentral lists this ribosomal RNA (253 nucleotides) under uncultured bacterium. RNAcentral's name for it is "partial 16S ribosomal RNA". It matches the Rfam family "Bacterial small subunit ribosomal RNA", at positions 524 to 776 of the family's 1533-position model. The record is from RNAcentral.